UAAGUUUGGCGAAAUGACACUUUCCCACCCAUGGAGUUUCAAAACGACAUUUUCCCAUCACUGUUAUGUUCUGUUAGGCAAAUUCAUCCUGAAGACGGAUAAGAGAUGGUCAAUUUAAAUGAAGCCACAAAAAUCAAAAUUUAAAGAUUGAAACUUUACCGGAAUGGUUGUCACGUGUCUCACUAAAGUUGACUUGGAAAAAAAAAGGAAGAAGCGUUUUCUCCCUGUUCUCAAUAACUCAAGUGACUGCUGAAUUAGGGUUGGUGACUGGCAAGAGAAGAGAUCGUGUGGAGAGAAAUCUAGGUUUCUUUUAAAUUGUAGGACUAUAGUGAGGAUUAUCAAUACCUGCGGAUUUAGGCAAUAUUGGAGGUUAUUAGAUGAUAGAAGCUGCACCAAAGGAAACACAGGCAGUAAAGGUUGAACAUGUGAUAUGAGAACAAAAUGUUUUCGCUACAACUGAAUUCAUUGAGCUAUUUUCUGAGUUAAUAGUGACCAGACUUACCAUCAUUGCAAAUGGAAAGCUGGUGUGAUAUUUGCCUCCCCAAGGUGCUCAGAAAUUCUAGAAAUAGCGGCAAUGAGGAAUAUUUUUGAGAAAAAAAAAACAUGGUAGAGAUUUUGUAUCUGCAGCCUAAUUCUGGAGUAAAUCCCAUGAUGAGUGCAAAGAAUGAUGGUUAUAGCUUUGGUCUUGUCCUGUCGGAACUCUUAACUGGGCAAAAGCCUGUUGAUCAUACUCUAUCGCAUGGAUAGCAGAGCCUUGUGACAUGGAUACGCUAUGAUCGGACAUAUGAGUGCAAAGAGUGAUGCUUAUAGCUUUGGUCUUGUCAUGCCAGAACUCUUAACUGGGCAGAAGCCUGUUGAUCAUACUCUGUCACGUGGAUAGUAGAGCCUUGUGACAUGAGAAACUCCAAAACUCAAUGAAGAUAAGGUGAAGUAAUGCGUUGACGCUGCUAAGUUAAAUGGAGAAUAGCCUCCUAAGGUAGUUGCAAAGGUACUGAAGAUGGUAACUUUGACUGAAAAUAAUACAUCAAAUUCAAGCUUUCUUAGUGGAAAAGCAAAGGAUUGUCAAGAAGGUUUUGAACAUCUAGAAAGCAAAGGAAAAGCAAGCUUCAAGGAGCUAGAAAGCGGACCAUGAAAGCAAAACUUUUUCGAUUUUAAGAAAUGAAUGAGAAACCAGGGAAACUUACUUUCUUUGUAUUGAAUUCCCUAUUUCUAUUGGGUUUGAAUUGACAAAAUUACUUAUAUAUAUAUGAACUGUAUUUAUAC
This is a long non-coding RNA of Pistacia vera, 1263 nucleotides long. RefSeq lists it as uncharacterized. The transcript has 6 exons. The record is from RefSeq and is a predicted model, not a curated record. Lineage: Eukaryota; Viridiplantae; Streptophyta; Magnoliopsida; Sapindales; Anacardiaceae.